GCCAGUCCGCGAGAUGACAAUGUGUCAC
Molecule: small RNA, 28 nt
Filed under: Bombyx mori (domestic silkworm)
Lineage: Eukaryota; Metazoa; Arthropoda; Insecta; Lepidoptera; Bombycidae
Description: ovarian small RNA-16609
Source: RNAcentral